This 120-nucleotide ribosomal RNA is filed under the name Pteropus alecto (black flying fox). Lineage: Eukaryota; Metazoa; Chordata; Mammalia; Chiroptera; Pteropodidae. The record is from RNAcentral.
GUCUACAGCCAUGACAUCCUGACGGUGCCUGACCUCGUCUGAUUUCCUAAAGCUAAGCAGGGUCGGUCUUGGUUAAUACUUAGAUGGGAGACCACCUAAGAAUACCAGGUGCUGUUGGCA